RNAcentral lists this ribosomal RNA (401 nucleotides) under Actinomycetes bacterium. RNAcentral describes it as "Actinobacteria bacterium partial 16S ribosomal RNA". It matches the Rfam family "Bacterial small subunit ribosomal RNA", at positions 355 to 776 of the family's 1533-position model. The record is from RNAcentral. Lineage: Bacteria; Bacillati; Actinomycetota; Actinomycetes.
UGGGGAAUUUUGCACAAUGGGGGCAACCCUGAUGCAGCGACGCCGCGUGAUUUAGAAGGCCUUCGGGUUGUAAAAAUCUUUUGUAUAGGAAGAAAAUGACAGUACUAUACGAAUAAGGUCCGGCUAAUUACGUGCCAGCAGCCGCGGUAAUACGUAAGGACCGAGCGUUGUCCGGAAUCAUUGGGCGUAAGGGGACGUAGGCGGUUAAAAAAGUUAGAAGUGAAAGGCUAUAGCUCAACUAUAGUAAGCUUUUAAAACUGUUUAACUUGAGAGAUGGAAGGGAAAGUGGAAUUCCUAGUGUAGCGGUGAAAUGCGCAGAUAUUAGGAGGAAUACCGGUGGCGAAGGCGACUUUCUGGCCAUUAUCUGACGCUGAGGUACGAAAGCGUGGGUAGCAAACAGG